GAGGAGAGUCAGUCAUGGCAGCAGACGCCAGGACGGCUCAGCGACCGCUGCACCGGGCGCUCCUGGGCUCGGGCUGCGGAUCAGUUGAGCUGCUCUGAAUAUUUGCAUGACUUCUCCAGGUAGAUACCCAGAAAAGGAAUUGCCAGGUUGUAUGGGUCUCACUAUGUUGCCCAGACUG
Molecule: long non-coding RNA, 178 nt
Organism: Cebus imitator (Panamanian white-faced capuchin)
Lineage: Eukaryota; Metazoa; Chordata; Mammalia; Primates; Cebidae
Exons: 3
Source: RefSeq, a predicted model, not a curated record